CUUUUUAAAAUAUUGCAGAAAAAUAAACUCAUAGCCAAAAGUUUAUAUGUGUUAUCAUUCACUAUUUAACCAAAAUUAUUAGUAUUUCUCUGAACUAGAUCUUCUGUAGAGUAUAUCAGGGCACCAUAUUCUGAAACCAGUGCUUUUGUAGAAAGUAUCAUCCAAGGUACUGAUUUGAUCAUUAAAAAUAUGGAGAUUUAAUCAGGACACAAAUACCCGAAGAAAAGGAACUAUUGGUGCCAAAAUACUUGUCAUUUAUGUGAAUAGAAGAAAUAGCCACAUACUUGCUCUUUAUUUUCUAGGAUUAAAAAUGCAGAUUGUUUGAAUGAUUAUUUUCACUGUUAAAAUGUAGUUUUAAAAAUUUCCCUUGGUAUAUAAUUCUCAAUUUCCUGGUCUAAUAAUUCUGUUCUAACAUUCUAUGGCAUUGAUCAUAUUUUGUUAAUUCUAUCGGCCUGCCUGUGGUGAGAGCAAGGAGCUGUGCUUAGUUAAUAUUCUCACAAGUCUGAACUUCUAAACAAGGCACGUUUUACAUGU
RNAcentral lists this long non-coding RNA (534 nucleotides) under Bos taurus (domestic cattle). RNAcentral's name for it is "long non-coding RNA NONBTAT010885". Lineage: Eukaryota; Metazoa; Chordata; Mammalia; Artiodactyla; Bovidae. The record is from RNAcentral.